ACUCCUUGAGUGAGCAAGAUUCUGCUUCUAGAUUCCAUUAUAAAAAUUCUAGAUUAGAUUAGGAGUUAAACCAUAGGAUAAAUUUAACUUGUGAUCUGUUAGUAGUAUCUUGGUGGGCCUCACUCUCUGAGUGAGCAAAAUUUUGCUCAUAGAUCCUACCAUAUAAAUCCUAUUAGUUAGAAAUACUACGAUUCUUUCCUUAACCGAGAAGCUCCCUCU
RNAcentral lists this long non-coding RNA (219 nucleotides) under Elaeis guineensis (African oil palm). RNAcentral describes it as "long non-coding RNA (EGUI_LNC051110)". The record is from RNAcentral. Lineage: Eukaryota; Viridiplantae; Streptophyta; Magnoliopsida; Arecales; Arecaceae.